Long non-coding RNA from Daphnia magna, 948 nucleotides. RefSeq lists it as uncharacterized. The record is from RefSeq and is a predicted model, not a curated record. The transcript is spliced from 3 exons. NCBI's taxonomy places the organism in Eukaryota, Metazoa, Arthropoda, Branchiopoda, Diplostraca, Daphniidae.
ACAUUAUACGAACUAAAUAGGUCCCGUGCACGUCGCUAGCCGGACCACGUCGAUAACAUUUUCCGUUUUUUUUUAUCGAAUUCCCAAAUUUUUUGAUUUACUUAUGAAUUGAUCGUAUGCGUUAUUGAAUUUCUCGUAAUGUUCAUUUAUGACAUUGCUACUUUUUUUCGAAAAUUAUUCGUAAAUUAGAAUUUACACGGUAACUGCAAGGCUUUGUUAUAAUGAUGUUUUCGGAUUGAAAACGUUCCGCGACACGCUUUGCCGUUGGCAACUUCCAUGGUGAUUUCCACAAGAUACCACCCCAUGUUCCAAAUACAUGAAAUACCGGGUCCCCAAUAGAUUAACUGUAGUGUUGCUAUCGUCUAUCGUUAUCCUUAUCCCCUCACCUCUUCUAGUAGUGGGUAGUGGAAACUGUUUGGGUUGUGAAAAAAAAAACGCUAUAUUUGAACAUAAAGUUUUUUUUUAUUAGCGUGUUCUUCGUUUUCACAAUGGCCACUUUUGCGGGAUGGGAAUGGCAUCUAAAAGGAAAAAAAACAAUGAGUAGUGAAGGUCCAGUUAAGAUUGUAGGAAUUAACCAUGGAGUAUGUCUGCAUCAUUUCUUGUUGAUGGAUGGAUGGAAGGAAAAAAGAACAAUUCACUGAUGUUACAUUUUUUGCCAGUCUCCAGAUGACAAUAAUGAACAACACAGCUUACAAAACAAGCUCCGUGCUAACAGAAGUAUGAUUGGAUGAGGUGUUCUUGCUGCUACCAGCCGGUUCUUUUCCAUCCUGUUACCUGAUUGUGAGUUAGACCUAGAUGUCUGCAUCUCAAUUGAUCUGAGCUUUGAAGAACUGUUUUGUGUUCUUGAGUACAUCUAUUCUGGGAAGCUGCUGUGUUCAGUCAAAAGCAAAGACAGAAUUUUAAGUAUUCUAAAAGAAUUUGAUAUUUUCGUGCCUGAUCAUCUACAGA